This 491-nucleotide ribosomal RNA is filed under the name uncultured bacterium. Its description in RNAcentral is "partial 16S ribosomal RNA". It matches the Rfam family "Bacterial small subunit ribosomal RNA", at positions 29 to 507 of the family's 1533-position model. The record is from RNAcentral.
GUGAACGCUGGCGGUAGGCCUAACACAUGCAAGUCGCACGGCAGCACAGUAAGAGCUUGCUCUUACGGGUGGCGAGUGGCGGACGGGUGAGGAAUACAUCGGAAUCUACUUUUUCGUGGGGGAUAGCGUAGGGAAACUUACGCUAAUACCGCAUACGACCUACGGGUGAAAGCAGGGGAUCUUCGGGCCUUGCGCGAUUGAAUGAGCCGAUGUCGGAUUAGCUAGUUGGCGGGGUAAAGGCCCACCAAGGCGACGAUCCGUAGCUGGUCUGAGAGGAUGAUCAGCCACACUGGAACUGAGACACGGUCCAGACUCCUACGGGAGGCAGCAGUGGGGAAUAUUGGACAAUGGGCGCAAGCCUGAUCCAGCCAUACCGCGUGGGUGAAGAAGGCCUUCGGGUUGUAAAGCCCUUUUGUUGGGAAAGAAAAGCAGCAGGUUAAUACCCCGCUGUUCUGACGGUACCCAAAGAAUAAGCACCGGCUAACUUCGUG